Molecule: ribosomal RNA, 514 nt
Filed under: uncultured bacterium
Lineage: Bacteria
Description: partial 16S ribosomal RNA
Rfam family: Bacterial small subunit ribosomal RNA
Source: RNAcentral
UGGGGAAUUUUGGACAAUGGGCGCAAGCCUGAUCCAGCCAUGCCGCGUGCGGGAAGAAGGCCUUCGGGUUGUAAACCGCUUUUGUCAGGGAAGAAAUCUUCUGAGUUAAUACCUCGGGAGGAUGACGGUACCUGAAGAAUAAGCACCGGCUAACUACGUGCCAGCAGCCGCGGUAAUACGUAGGGUGCAAGCGUUAAUCGGAAUUACUGGGCGUAAAGCGUGCGCAGGCGGUUUUGUAAGACAGAGGUGAAAUCCCCGGGCUCAACCUGGGAACUGCCUUUGUGACUGCAAGGCUUGAGCGCGGCAGAGGGGGAUGGAAUUCCGCGUGUAGCAGUGAAAUGCGUAGAUAUGCGGAGGAACACCGAUGGCGAAGGCAAUCCCCUGGGCCUGCACUGACGCUCAUGCACGAAAGCGUGGGGAGCAAAACAGGAUUAGAUACCCUGGUAGUCCACGCCCUAAAACGAUGUCAACUGGUUGUUGGGAAGGUUCCUUCUCAGUAACGUAGCUAACGCGU